Molecule: long non-coding RNA, 5640 nt
Organism: Daphnia pulex (common water flea)
Lineage: Eukaryota; Metazoa; Arthropoda; Branchiopoda; Diplostraca; Daphniidae
Exons: 2
Source: RefSeq, a predicted model, not a curated record
AAUGACGGGCGGUGUAUAGCAGAUAAUGUCGUUUUGAUAUUAAUUCCACAUUCCUUGAAAAAGUAAAUAAACAUCUGGAUCAAUUCAUACAUUUGCAACAUAAAUUUGAUAUUUCGCGUUAAUAGCAUGUUAAAUAUUUGAAAUAAAGUAUUUCCCAAUAUUAGAAUUAAUAUAAAUUAAUGUUAAAAUUAUGUUCGACUUGAAAUGAAAAAUAAUUUGAAUAAAAUUUGUAGUGCAUUAGAAAAAUUUAUUUCAUUCAUAAUUAUUUUGUAGUCUAUUUAAAAACAAAAUAUACUAUACACUUGUGGUUUGAAGUCACGAUUGGGAGUGGCAGAGGCGUGGCCCCCGCUGAAAAACACUUUCGUAGUUGACUGUGCUACCUCUAGAUGGAUUAAAUUGGGUUAGGAUUUUAUUAGGAUAGCCUACUGUAUACGUGUUAUGAUCCACAAACGAACGAAGACGACAGUUGAAUAAAAUAUUAAGCGGGAUAGAUGAUGAUUUCUUCACAAAUUUUGCGCGGUAGAUUUUUAAGUCAAAACCACACUAAGUGAUUAUGCUACGGGCCUUCCUAAAAGUCAUAGGGCUUAAUGAUAGCGCCAAGAUGUGAAAUGUUAGGGACAUGGCACUGAGCAUUAUUUCUUCUUGUUUAUUACGAAUAUUUGGAGUACCUGAACCAAAGGUGAAAACCUAACGUUACAUAUUCCGUUUGGCUUUCGAGUUCCAAUCGGUUCCAAUUCGACGAUUUUCAAGUUAUGCUUGGGAAAUACGAAAAUGCAUGAACAUUAUUAAAGUUAAGUCUCCCAUCCAUCUCCAUUGAUUAGCGACGCUGUUAUUUACGUUAAUUUCUUUUUUUUACCACUAGAUGUCUUUUUUUUUCGCGCGCAGUUUGUACGUUAAAAUUCCUAGCGAUGACGAUCGGAAAUAGGGGAUACGUUUUUCUUUUUGAUUAUUAGAAUUUCCAUAAAAAAUUUAGUCCUUCUCUGAUUUUUUUGAAAAAAAAAAUAAAGACAUAAUACCGUAAUCGUCAGAUUGAAAAUUAUGGGUUUAUCUCACAUAAAUAUAUUUUAUUAGGCCUAUUUGAUUUUGCAUCGUUACGACUGCUUCAUGAAUUUAAAAAAAUUACAAAAUAAAUUGCUGCUUGAUGACUGUGCGGCUAUGCAUUCUGAGCGUUUUGUUCUAAAAUAGGAGCAGAUCGACAAUAGCAUAGCCACAUAACGACAAAACAGUAUUUCAAACAAAGUGCUUGCUAAAAAUCAAAUUUUUUUAGUUUAUUGAACAAAAUACCUGGUUUGAAGGGAGUGACAAAGGCGUGUCCUCCGCUGCGAGGCACUAUCGUAGUUGAUUGUGCAGCCUUAGAUGGUUUAUAUUGCGUUCUGUUUUUUUGUAGGAUGGCCUACGAUAUAAUGUACGUUCGGUUGUGAUCUACGAACGAACGGAGACGACAGGCGAAUCAAAUAUUAAGCAGGAUCGAUUGUAGAAUAAAGAAUUUAAAUCCACUUUCUGCUUUCGACAUCUGGUUGUCGACGCUUUCGUAUGCGAGGACAAUAUCACAAUAUACUCGAUGCCAUAUGGCAACAGUUUAAAACCGAAAAUUUAAUUAAUUUAAAAUUUAUUACUUUAGAUUUUAUUUUAAUAUUAUUUAUUAAUUUAAAAUUUUACGUUUGUUCAAUAGUUUUUGCAUAAAGAUCAAGGCUAAAUUAUAGGAACAUUUUUUUAACCAGGAGGUGUCGAUUUUGGACUUUUUGGCGUCAUCAGGUCCCUCUUUGUGUUUUUGUUUGUGUGUUACUGUGUGUUACUUCCCUUUAACCUAAAUUCAAUCAUGACCACUAGAUGCCAUCAUGUAUUUUUAUGUUUUGUUUAUUAUACCAGCCGAUAGAGGGUUGAGGCGGAGGCAGGGAGACUCACGAAGAAAAGCAAAGUUCCCACUUCCUUCUUAUACGCCAAGCUGAGAGGGCAGCUUAGAAGGAGCUUUGAAUUAUCAAAGCUCCCUCUAAUUCGAAGCAAACCUCAAACAAUAAAUCGGCUAGCUAUCCGAGAUAGCUGCUAUCCCUUGCGAAAAUUGUUAGAUGAAAUAAAUAUUUUUAGAACUUCCUAUUUAUUAUUAUAUCUAUUUAACUAGUGGUUAAUUGCUAGUGCUCCGUACUUACUGGACUCCUUACAGUUGUACUUGGCCGAUAUAGAUAAUUAAGACCUUCUUAAUUCAAACUUGGAACUUAUUCCAACUAUUUUAUUUAAUUUUAUCAAGUUCUUUUGCUCUUUUCCCACGGCAGUAAAGAAGAAGGGAUUUUAAAAAACAUAUCGAGACGGGAAGGGCUAUUGAAUCACGCUUGUUCGACUUGGCUGAGACUUAUUUUUUAUUUAUUUUUUAUUUAGAAAUACAUACACAGGAGGAAAGAAUUUUAUCAAAACAAAAGUAACGCCAAAAAAGGGACCCAUUUACAUGAUAUGGCUUUGAGCUUAAGGCUUUUCAUCUUAUUCGUUACAAAGUUAGUCAUAUUCUUCCUCAGAAUCGGUGCUGCAAUUAUCCUGAAACUCUGCGCACAAAUCCGCCUCCCAUCCAUCAGUGUUUUGAGCCUUUUCCUGCUUUCUUUGUCUUUUGGAAUUUUUCAGAAGUUGAAGGGUUUUCUUUCUUUUGGAUUUUUCUUCAUCCCCUUAUUUAAAAAAAAUACAUUAAUUUAUAUUCAUUUUCUUUCUUACUGAUAAAAUUACCUUUCAUUGCACCUUCAUUAUUUUCCCGAUCAGGAGCUUCUGGAAGAAAUUUUUCAUCCAUUCCAGGUUUUUCUGUAAGCACAAAAAAAUAGAUUAUUUUUAAUUUUAAAUUUUCUUUCAGGUAAAUUUGCCUUUCAAAUUAGCAUUGAUUCCCAAAUUUUCAUUUUGUCCAGAAGGAAUGGCAUUUGCAGCCUGAUCCAAGAGUUUCAUUUGAGGAGUGGCUUCUACGGCAGCAACUUUAUGUUUGACAACUGUAUGUAAAAAAAACCUUUAUUUCAAAUAUUCACACAUUUAUUUUUAUCGAGGCAAUUAAAUUAACAAUACCUUUAACCUCAUCAAAUGCAGGUUUAUCAUCUGCUUCUUCCAAUUCAAGUUCAUCAUCUGCUUCGUCCAAUUCAGGUGCAUCAGAAUCAGAAUUGAUUCCCAAAUUUUCAUUUUGUUCAGAAGGAAUGGCAUUUGCAGCCUGAUCCAAGAGUUUCAUUUGAGGAGUCGCUUCUACGGCAGCAACUUCAUGUUUGACAACUGUUUAUCAUCUGCUUCUUCCAAUUCAAGUUCAUCAUCUGCUUUGUCCAAUUCAGGUGCAUCAGAAUCAUCUGCGUUAAUAAUUGAGUUUUACAAAAUUGUGAUCUUAGCUCUUACAUUUUUCUUUACCUGUUAAAGAACAGUCAUGAGAGUUCCAAGGAUAAAAUUAAUUCCGCACUAUUGAAUUAUUAAUUAGAUUCCACUUAUUGGAAACAAUAUGUUAUAAUAUUCUAUAUAAAAUACUUAAAAAUGAGCUAGAUGCAUCGAAAAGAAUGACUGACUCAUAAACUAAAUGGAUGAAGUGACUAACCAAGUGAAUUCAAUUUAUCAGCGACGAUUUAUUUCUGAGUUACAUCAGUUGUGUUCGAACAGUACCAAAAACAGGGCAUUUACAUUAAUUUUAAAAGGGUUUAAAGCUGCUACAAAGUGAAUUAAAGAAACUCUUCAUUGUCCUCGGACUCCGAUUCAGUCGUGCAGUGGGACAAGCUGCUGCACAGACUGCUUUCUUCGGAUCCUUCAUCGUCUCCGUAAUCUUCUCCAUCAUUACUGCCCGAAGAAUCAAAACCACCUUCUCCAACAUCUGAGACACCAUCUUCACUGUUUUGAUACUGACGAUCGAAAAAGUAGCGUUCAUGCUAUCCAGUUUGGCUUUUUUCGCAAAUUCAAUCCUGUAGUAUUUCUUCACAUUUCGUUUCAGAAUGAUUUUGUCAUCUGAAAGCGUGAAAUUUUUUAGUUAUUUUAGUUUAUUAACUGAAGUGUUAAUUUUUAUUAGUUGUUACAAACUAACCAUAAAGGUUUUCAAAUUCAUCGAGUGCUUCACCAAUUUCCAAAGUCAGUUCUGGUAAAUCUAGAAAAGAAAAGAAUAAUUUUGAACUGAAAUUACUUGAAAUCUAGAGCUAAAGAAUUUUAAGUUACCUUGCUUUCCUCCGUCUUCAUUCAUGACUUCCAAUACUUGCUGUUCCUCGGUAUCAUCUGAAGGGACUGUUUACAGACUAGGUUUAAUUUUAGCUUAUUGAUUUUAUAAGAUUUAAACUUACGAUUAGUGUUCGAUUUAACACAAGCAGAAUUUGUUGAAUCCUGCUUCAAACCACAUCUGAAAAAAUUAAAAAAAUUAUGCACUCUUUUCUGGGAAGUUUUGUUUGUAAUCAACUUACUUUUCACAAAGAUUCUCCAAUUCUCCAAUUCACUUCCUUCCAUUUCUUCAACUUUCACUUAUUUUGAAAUUAAUGUAAAGUUUGAAACUUUUCCAGAGUUUUCGAGACUUUGCGAGAGUUUAUAAUUUUUCAUCAUCUACGACUUCCAAUUCAGCUUCCCUUUGAAAAUUUUCAGAGAUUUCUUUUGGUACAUCGUCUGAAAUGAUAAACAUUUUUUUUUCCACCAACACUAUAAAAAGGUAUUAAAACUUUUGAUUACCUUGUUUUGUUUCUCCAGCUCUGUUUCCGAUAGGUCAUGAGAGGUGUUUAAACUGAGCUAUUCAAGUCUGAUACAGAUUUAUCAGAAUCAGAACUCAAGUCGCAGUAGUCAUAAGGCAUUAAAAUUAUUGUUUAUUACCUUGUUUUUUAUCCAUUGAUGUUUCUGAUAAAUCCUCAGAGGUGUUUGCUUACACGUAUGAGCUGUCGGAAUCAGAUUUAUUAGAAUCAGAACUGAAGUCACUGAAGUCACAAUAAUUAUAAUGAUAGUUCGACUCAUUAUCUCCUUCCAAAUACUCUUAAUCUAUUAAAGGGUAAUCUCUAAGAAAGGGUAUGCAAAAUUUAAAAUUAUUAACAAAUUCGUAAUCUGAUAAGAUUGAUUCCCCCCAAGAGGUUUAGCUAAAAAAAAAUUUAGUUAUAAAUUGUAUUAAAAUUGAAAACCUUUUUUUUAUGGUAAUCCAUUUAACAAAAAAAAGUUAUUUGUUCCCUUUUCUUAUGCUCUGUCCAUCUAGCGGUCACCACUAGAUACCCCAUAUUUUUGUGUUACAGACUUCCUUAAUUUUUUGGUUAGCAAAGAUGGUGAGUGUUUGCUCUGCCAAUUUGGUGACAGAAUUCGAGUUAUGAAAAAUAAGCAGGCCAUUAAAAGUACAGAAAAAGGAACCAAGGUGCAUUAUUGAUCUUAAUUUAGGAUUUUAAAAAGGAAAAAAAAAAAAAACUCAACAACGUUUUAGUUUUAUCAUUUUCGAACCACCGAUCUUAAUUCCACUGUAAUCUGAUCUACGAUUUUUGACGAAUUUCUUUUUGCUUCAUAUUGUCUCCUUUGAAUUAGAAGAAGUAAGCUGUAUAAAUUUUCUAUAUAACGUUUACGGACUUUCUUGGGUUCUUUUCAUAUUUUUAUGCAAGUGACAAUAAUACGUGUAUAAAGGGAAGCGUGUGUGUUUUGUUUUUUUAGUUACCAUGAAACGAAAAAUAGACCCGAAUACACUGUUCUAAAAAUCGA